This 882-nucleotide ribosomal RNA is filed under the name uncultured bacterium. RNAcentral's name for it is "bacterial SSU rRNA". It matches the Rfam family "Bacterial small subunit ribosomal RNA", at positions 31 to 906 of the family's 1533-position model. The record is from RNAcentral.
GAACGCUGGCGGCGUGCCUAACACAUGCAAGUCGGAUGUGCCGCAAGGUGCAUGGCAGACGGGUGAGUAACGCGUGGGGAACCUACCUCUUUGUGGGGAAUAACGUUCCGAAAGGAAUGGUAAUACCGCAUGAGACCGAUGGCUGGGAUGCUGUCGGUGAAACCCGGGGACCGCAAGGCCUGGGGCAAGGAGAGGGUCCUGCGUCUGAUUAGCUAGUUGGCGGGGUAACGGCCCACCAAGGCGUCGAUCAGUAGCCGGCCUGAGAGGGUGAUCGGCCACACUGGAACUGAGACACGGUCCAGACUCCUACGGGAGGCAGCAGUGGGGAAUUUUGCGCAAUGGGCGAAAGCCUGACGCAGCAACGCCGCGUGGGUGAUGAAGGUCUUCGGAUCGUAAAACCCUGUCGUCAGGGACGAAGGUUGCAUGUCGAAUAGAUGUGUAACUUGACGGUACCUGGAGAGGAAGCCCCGGCUAACUCUGUGCCAGCAGCCGCGGUAAUACAGAGGGGGCAAGCGUUAUUCGGAAUUAUUGGGCGUAAAGGGCGCGUAGGCGGUGUCUUAAGUGAGAUGUGUAAUCCCCGAGCUUAACUUGGGAACUGCAUCUCAGACUGGGGCGCUAGAGUGCUGGAGAGGGUGGUAGAAUUCCACGUGUAGCGGUGAAAUGCGUAGAGAUGUGGAGGAAUACCAGUGGCGAAGGCGGCCACCUGGACAGUAACUGACGCUGAGGCGCGAAAGUGUGGGGAGCAAACAGGAUUAGAUACCCUGGUAGUCCACGCUGUAAACGAUGAACACUUGGUGUGGUGGGAGUUGACCCCCGCCGUGCCGUAGCUAACGCGAUAAGUGUUCCGCCUGGGGAGUACGGUCGCAAGGCUGAAACUCAAAG